ACUUGUUGAUAGUGCUUGAUAACACGCGCGAUUUAAAAUCCCUCGGCGUUCGCGCUGUGCGGGUUCAAGUCCCGCUCCGGGUACCA
RNAcentral lists this transfer RNA (86 nucleotides) under Salmonella enterica. RNAcentral's name for it is "tRNA-Leu". RNAcentral also lists the same sequence under 2 other names. The record is from RNAcentral. Lineage: Bacteria; Pseudomonadati; Pseudomonadota; Gammaproteobacteria; Enterobacterales; Enterobacteriaceae.